UCAACAAAUCUAUGCAAUGAAGAGUCAGAAGAUUUGUGCCAAGAUAUGGAGAGUGAUGACCAAGAAUAUUGUUAAUGGAAUAGUCUAUUAUGUUCAUCAGGGGGAAGCUCUUGUUGCAAUGGUGAUCAUUGGUCUUGUUAUCUCCGUAUAUGUGGCAUUACUUAGACAAAUUAUAUGAAUAUAUGCUUUUUGGAUUAUGAUAUCUUGUAUCAGGAAUGUUUACGUACUAUUUGAUACACAAUGUGUUCCAAAAUUGUUCUUAAUCCGUUGUUUAUG
Prunus persica (peach) is the source of this 276-nucleotide long non-coding RNA. RefSeq lists it as uncharacterized. Lineage: Eukaryota; Viridiplantae; Streptophyta; Magnoliopsida; Rosales; Rosaceae. The transcript is spliced from 3 exons. The record is from RefSeq and is a predicted model, not a curated record.